CUUGUUGGUGUGGCUUAAAAACACAACUAAAGACAUCCCGCACUAAGUCUAAUCCGUUUAGAAAAUUUUUUGCUUGCCCAAAAUAUGAUACGGGCGAUGCACGAUGUGAAUUCUUCGUGUGGACGGAUAUAUAUCUUUUGCUAGAUCAAAACAUUCGAACUAGAGAGACUAAAGUUUGGACUAUGUGGGAUGAGGUCUUGCUGCAAGAGUGCCAAGUGCAGAAAAGGGAGGAGAAAGUAAAUGAGAGAGAGAGAAGCCUGAAAAAAUCUAAUAGAACAUUAUUGUGUUUGUAUUGGAUUCUCACAGCUGUAAUAAUUAUAGCUUGGUUUGGAUAAAUUGGAAGUUGACUGUCAUGUAUGGAAA
Long non-coding RNA from Carya illinoinensis, 363 nucleotides. RefSeq lists it as uncharacterized. NCBI's taxonomy places the organism in Eukaryota, Viridiplantae, Streptophyta, Magnoliopsida, Fagales, Juglandaceae. The record is from RefSeq and is a predicted model, not a curated record. The transcript has 2 exons.